GUUCCAGAAUAAUCGGCUAUACAUUUUAAUUUUUAACUCUAUUUGUUGUUAUAUUACUUUUUUUUUGUUCUUUUUUAUGUUUUUUUUGUAAAAUGUUUUGAUUUUUUUGUAUUUUUUUGUAAUAUUUAAAAUUUGUUUUUUGAACUGGAUUAGUACCCAGGUAAUCAAAGUUUAUUAAUUCGGGAGUAAAGUUUUGUUUAAACCGAAAAAAUAUUGACUGACUUUAGAUUUUUCUUUGGAAUAUGUGUUUUUGGAGAGCCCUCUUUUUUGGUGAAUUUUAUUGGCACAUGUAUGAUUGUUUAGUUUUUAUGUUAUUUGUGUUGCUUUUUUGUUUUUUUGCAUUUAAAACAGAUAUAUAUUUGGCUUAUAAAUUUAUUUUUCAUGUAUUACUAUUAUUAAUUUUUUUUGGAUUUAUUUUUUAUUUUGUUUUUGAAAUUGGAAAAGAAAGUAAUUUUUUCUUUAUGUGUUAAUGAAUUUAAUAAAUAAAGUGGUACAAACCAUCCGUCAAU
This 509-nucleotide ribosomal RNA is filed under the name Dirofilaria repens. RNAcentral describes it as "partial 12S ribosomal RNA". Lineage: Eukaryota; Metazoa; Nematoda; Chromadorea; Rhabditida; Onchocercidae. The record is from RNAcentral.